CUACGGGCGGCUCCAGUGAGGAAUAUUGCACAAUGGAGGAAACUCUGAUGCAGCAACGCCGCGUGGAGGAUGACGCAUUUCGGUGUGUAAACUCCUUUUAUAUGUCAAGAAAAUGACGGUAGCAUAUGAAUAAGCUCCGGCUAACUCCGUGCCAGCAGCCGCGGUAAUACGGAGGGAGCAAGCGUUACUCGGAAUCACUGGGCGUAGAGGACGCGGAGGCGGGAUAGAAAGUCAGGUGUGAAAUCCUAUGGCUCAACCAUAGAACUGCACUUGAAACUUCUAACCUAGAGUAUGGGAGGGGAAGAUGGAAUUAGUGGUGUAGGGGUAAAAUCCGUAGAUAUCACUAGGAAUACCAAAAGCGAAGGCGAUCUUCUGGAACAAUACUGACGCUAAGGCGUGAAAGCGUGGGGAGCAAACAGGAUUAGAUACCCCAGUAGUC
Molecule: ribosomal RNA, 439 nt
Filed under: uncultured bacterium
Lineage: Bacteria
Description: partial 16S ribosomal RNA
Rfam family: Bacterial small subunit ribosomal RNA
Source: RNAcentral